UACGUAGGAGGCGAGCGUUGUCCGGAAUUACUGGGCGUAAAGAGCGCGUAGGCGGCACGGUACGACCGGUGUGAAAGCCCCCGGCUCAACUGGGGAGGGUCACCGGUAACGGCCGAGCUAUGAGUGCAGGAGAGGGUCGUGGAAUUCCCGGUGUACGCGGUGAAAUGCGUAGAGAUCGGGAGGAACACCAGAGGCGAAGGCGGCGACCUGGACAGGCACUGACACUCAACUACGAAAGCGUGGGGAGCAAACAGG
RNAcentral lists this ribosomal RNA (255 nucleotides) under uncultured bacterium. Its description in RNAcentral is "partial 16S ribosomal RNA". It matches the Rfam family "Bacterial small subunit ribosomal RNA", at positions 524 to 776 of the family's 1533-position model. The record is from RNAcentral.